GAUGAACGCUGGCGGCGUGCCUAAUACAUGCAAGUCGAGCGAACAGACGAGGAGCUUUCUCCUCUGACGUUAUCGGCGGACGGGUGAGUAACACGUGGAUAACCUACUUAUAACACUGUGAUAACUUCCGCAAACAGGAGUUAAUACCGCAUAAUAUAUUUAAUCUCUUGGUUCAAUAGUGAAGGACGGUUUUGCUUUCACUUAUGGAUGGAUUCGCGCCGUAUUAGCUAGUUGGUAAGGUAAUGGCCUACCAAGGCAACGAUGACUAGCCGACCUGAGAGGGGGAUGGGCGACAAUGGAACGAAGGAACGGCCGCGACUCCUCCGGGAGGAGGCAGUAGGGAAUAGUACGGAAUGGGGGAAGGCCUGCGGGUGCAGCGCCGCGUGAGGAAGGAAGGUCUCCGGAUCGUAAAACUCUGUUAUCGGGAAAGAAGAAAUGUGUAAGUAACUAUGGACGGCUUGACGGUACCUAAACAGAAAGCCACGGCUAACUACGUG
This 497-nucleotide ribosomal RNA is filed under the name uncultured bacterium. RNAcentral describes it as "partial 16S ribosomal RNA". It matches the Rfam family "Bacterial small subunit ribosomal RNA", at positions 28 to 507 of the family's 1533-position model. The record is from RNAcentral.